Small nucleolar RNA from Perognathus longimembris pacificus (Pacific pocket mouse), 127 nucleotides. RefSeq annotates it as small nucleolar RNA SNORA40. The transcript has a single exon. Lineage: Eukaryota; Metazoa; Chordata; Mammalia; Rodentia; Heteromyidae. The record is from RefSeq and is a predicted model, not a curated record.
AGCAAUUAUAUGUAUCUUUGUGUAAUUUGUAACAAAGAUGUACAGACAGGUGCAAACAGUAAAUCUUCUUUUACAAUCCAGAACUCAUUGCUGAGUAUGAGUUUUGGUAUACGUAAGAAGGAAUAUG